RNAcentral lists this ribosomal RNA (372 nucleotides) under Triticum aestivum (bread wheat). RNAcentral describes it as "partial small subunit ribosomal RNA". Lineage: Eukaryota; Viridiplantae; Streptophyta; Magnoliopsida; Poales; Poaceae. The record is from RNAcentral.
AUGUCGGCAGAUGGAGACAGUACCGUCUAUUUGUGUGUCGCUGAUUCAUGUAAACACAAAAAGUAUCGGCGUUUCCUUCAGCCCAUGUCCGAAAAAUAUGGCGCGGAAAGAGAGCCAUGUGCGCGCCAUCCCAAACACCCGAUUCGCACCAAACCAGAAAAAACAAAAAGAAAAAACACCAGACCCUCGACCCUGACCUGUUCGAUCCCCAAUCUCAAUCUCACCUCUCUCUCUCUAUCUCGCCACCCACACACCCUGACCCUAACCCUAACCCGACCGCGCCGCCGCUCCCAACCUGGGCGCCUCCGCCCCAAACCACCCGCCGGUCCCCUCGCGCCACCACAUCUCGGACCCCGGUCUCCCUUCCCUUAG